Molecule: microRNA precursor, 78 nt
Filed under: Chlorocebus sabaeus (green monkey)
Lineage: Eukaryota; Metazoa; Chordata; Mammalia; Primates; Cercopithecidae
Description: mir-350 microRNA precursor family
Rfam family: mir-350 microRNA precursor family
Source: Rfam by way of RNAcentral
GCUCCUACAAGAGUGAAGUGCAGGGACUUUGGGACAGUGAGGAAAAUAAAGCCCAUACACUUUGACCCUUUAGGAGAG